GACCGCGUAGCUCAGUUGGUAGAGCCUUGGGCUAGUAUUCCAAAGGUCGUAGGUUCGAUUCCCACCGUGGCCA
This 73-nucleotide transfer RNA is filed under the name Paramuricea clavata. It matches the Rfam family "tRNA". Rfam says of the family: Transfer RNA (tRNA) molecules are approximately 80 nucleotides in length. Their secondary structure includes four short double-helical elements and three loops (D, anti-codon, and T loops). Lineage: Eukaryota; Metazoa; Cnidaria; Anthozoa; Malacalcyonacea; Plexauridae. The record is from Rfam by way of RNAcentral.